Molecule: ribosomal RNA, 505 nt
Filed under: uncultured Lachnospiraceae bacterium
Lineage: Bacteria; Bacillati; Bacillota; Clostridia; Lachnospirales; Lachnospiraceae
Description: bacterial SSU rRNA
Rfam family: Bacterial small subunit ribosomal RNA
Source: RNAcentral
CGCCUUGCCAGCCCCGCUCAGAAACUCAAAUGAAUUGACGGGGGCCCGCACAAGCAGCGGAGCAUGUGGUUUAAUUCGAAGCAACGCGAAGAACCUUACCAAGACUUGACAUCCCCUGACAGCUGUUGAAAGGCAGUGUCUCUUCGGAGCAGGGAGACAGGUGGUGCAUGGUUGUCGUCAGCUCGUGUCGUGAGAUGUUGGGUUAAGUCCCGCAACGAGCGCAACCCUUAUCCUUAGUUACCAGCACGUAAAGGUGGGGACUCUAGGGAGACCGCCGGGGACGACUCGGAGGAAGGUGGGGACGACGUCAAAUCAUCAUGCCCCUUAUGUCUUGGGCUACACACGUGCUACAAUGGCCGCAACAGAGGGAAGCGAGAGCGCAAGCUGGAGCAAAACCCUAAAAAGCGGUCCCAGUUCGGAUUGUGGGCUGCAACCCGACUCCAUGAAGUUGGAAUCGCUAGUAAUCGUGGAUCAGCAUGCCACGGUGAAUACGUUCCCGGGCCUU